CUUUCAUGGAGAGUUUGAUCUUGGCUCAGGACGAACGCUGGCGGCGUGCCUAAUACAUGCAAGUCGAGCGCAGGAAGCUAGAUGACCCCUUCGGGGUGAUUCUAGUGGAAUGAGCGGCGGACGGGUGAGUAACACGUGGGCAACCUGCCUGUAAGACUGGGAUAACUCCGGGAAACCGGGGCUAAUACCGGAUAGUAUUUUCUUUCUCCUGAUUGAAAAUGGAAAGACGGUUUCGGCUGUCACUUACAGAU
Molecule: ribosomal RNA, 251 nt
Filed under: Terribacillus aidingensis
Lineage: Bacteria; Bacillati; Bacillota; Bacilli; Caryophanales; Bacillaceae
Description: partial 16S rRNA. Bacterial SSU
Rfam family: Bacterial small subunit ribosomal RNA
Source: RNAcentral